UACGUAGGCAGCGAGCGUUGUUCGGAGUUACUGGGCGUAAAGCGUGCGUAGGCGGUUUUGUAAGUUUGGUGUGAAAUCUCCCGGCUCAACUGGGAGGGUGCGCCGGAAACUGCAAGGCUGGAGUGUGGGAGAGGUAGGCGGAAUUCCUGGUGUAGCGGUGAAAUGCGUAGAUAUCGUCAAGAACACCCAGGGGGAAGGCAGUCGACUGGGCAACUACUGACGCUGAGGUGCGAGAGCGUGGGGAGCGAACCGG
This 253-nucleotide ribosomal RNA is filed under the name uncultured bacterium. RNAcentral describes it as "partial 16S ribosomal RNA". It matches the Rfam family "Bacterial small subunit ribosomal RNA", at positions 524 to 776 of the family's 1533-position model. The record is from RNAcentral.